This is a Y RNA of Pongo abelii (Sumatran orangutan), 96 nucleotides long. It matches the Rfam family "Y RNA". From Rfam's summary of the family: Y RNAs are components of the Ro ribonucleoprotein particle (Ro RNP), in association with Ro60 and La proteins. The Y RNAs and Ro60 and La proteins are well conserved, but the function of the Ro RNP is not known. The record is from Ensembl. Lineage: Eukaryota; Metazoa; Chordata; Mammalia; Primates; Hominidae.
GGCUGGUCCGAUGGUAGUGGGUUAUCAGAACUUAUUAACAUUAGUGUCACUAAAAUUGGUAUACAACCGCCCACUGCUAUAUUUGACUGGCUAAAA